UUGACGGGGCCCGCACAAGCGGUGGAGUAUGUGGUUUAAUUCGAUGCAACGCGAAGAACCUUACCUGGUCUUGACAUCCCGGAGACCCUUAGGAAACUAGGGGGUGCUUCCAUCUGGAAGAAUCUGGAGACAGGUGCUGCAUGGCUGUCGUCAGCUCGUGUCGUGAGAUGUUGGGUUAAGUCCCGCAACGAGCGCAACCCUUGCCUUUAGUUGCCAGCAGUUCGGCUGGGCACUCUAAAGGGACUGCCGGUGUUAAACCGGAGGAAGGUGGGGAUGACGUCAAAUCCUCAUGGCCUUUAUGACCAGGGCUACACACGUACUACAAUGGCCGAUACAAAGGGCAGCGACACUGCGAGGUGAAGCCAAUCCCGUAAAAUCGGUCUCAGUCCGGAUUGGAGUCUGCAACUCGACUCCAUGAAGUUGGAAUCGCUAGUAAUCGUGGAUCAGCAUGCCACGGUGAAUACGUUCCCGGGCCUU
This 477-nucleotide ribosomal RNA is filed under the name uncultured Desulfobulbus sp. RNAcentral describes it as "bacterial SSU rRNA". It matches the Rfam family "Bacterial small subunit ribosomal RNA", at positions 910 to 1382 of the family's 1533-position model. Lineage: Bacteria; Pseudomonadati; Thermodesulfobacteriota; Desulfobulbia; Desulfobulbales; Desulfobulbaceae. The record is from RNAcentral.